Molecule: long non-coding RNA, 237 nt
Filed under: Capsicum annuum
Lineage: Eukaryota; Viridiplantae; Streptophyta; Magnoliopsida; Solanales; Solanaceae
Description: long non-coding RNA (CANN_LNC001169)
Source: RNAcentral
UGAAGAAUCUUCUCAGAAGGGUAAAGUGAUGUUUUAGCAGUUCAUGAAAGUUCUUUCGAUUUGAGGUAGGCUUGGAUUAGUCCUUGUUAGAUUGAGCUACGUUAUAGUAUAGCUGUGAUAUUUUGUAAGAUUAGGAUGAGUUUUAAGUUUUGGAUUGAUGCGACAUAAGAGUUGGGUUAGUUGGACCAUUUAGGCUAUGUGAAUCUUAGAGUUGAAAAACUUGACUUGUUUCCCCAU